Mya arenaria is the source of this 2774-nucleotide long non-coding RNA. RefSeq lists it as uncharacterized. The transcript has 11 exons. The record is from RefSeq and is a predicted model, not a curated record. NCBI's taxonomy places the organism in Eukaryota, Metazoa, Mollusca, Bivalvia, Myida, Myidae.
UAUAGUCGAGUGUUUACUUCUCAUGCAGGGAGAAUAGAGUUAAAAUGAAGUAUUAUGUUUAAUUCAGCACAGGACACGCUCAUUAGUUUUGAGUUAAUAUCAAUUUAAAUACAAACUUUUGAGAAAUCGUGAGGAACUUAAAUUUAGUAAAACUUGCUAAUUUGCAGACGCAAUGAAUUUGAAUCGGAUUUAAAUUAGAUAGCUGGAUUAUAAAGAGUGUUCUUAAAGCUAAAACAUGUACAAAUACUUAUACAGAUGAUAAGGAAUGAGAGAAUAAUCUUAAACGUGUUGUAUUGAAAAGAUCGGGUUGCAUGCUAAAGAAACUAUAUCGAAAUGCGACCAGCCUAGGAUCUGUCAACACGAUACAGCUGUUGCCUCCCUUUGGUUGAUGUUAAACUAAUGAUAAGCAGUAAAAAACAUACAUUAAAGAUGGAUAUAUGCAGACAGCACGGAAACUUCUGAUCUGUAGGUCUCAACGGGCGACCUUUUAGAAGGCCGUCUUUGGUUGUCCUGCAUGAGCCAGAAGCAAAGCGGUAAUAUUGAACACCAUUUAUCGAUCAAUCAAUGCGGCUUCAUGGUUGUCUCUCUUUUCCUGAAUUCGUUGAUGACUCAGAAGAUUGAAGAUGUUCAGAAAAUUCGUCAUACACUGAAGCUCUAAACUUGAGAUCACCUGAGAUACUUCCUGGUAGGAUGUGGUCCGGAGUUGCCAGGAUAUCAGGUAGAUGGCUAGGAACAUGUUGCUUUUUUCAAGAUCAGUCAUUACGAGCAAUCGACUCACACUGAAUCUCUGAAAUUAAGAUCACCUGAGGUACCUCCUGGUAGGAUGUGGUCCUGAGUUCUCUGACAUUUGCAAGAAAAUCAGGCAGAUGGCAAAGCAAUGCAUAUGGACAACAGUUUAAACCCCCUAUUUAAGAUAGAUACGGGCAGACAACAUUGUUUCCCUGAUCUGAUGGUCACAAGGUGCGCUUUUUGGCAUCAUGCGGUCCUGGUUUGCCCGGCAUGAUCCGGCGGAAGCAAAGAUAUUCCUAUACGAACAGAUGACCCGCACUGAAUCCCUGAUAUUGAGGUCAAAAGAAGCAUUUCAUGGCAGGAUGUCGUUCUAUGUUACCCUGCAUUUACCAGAAAUGAAGAUAGAUGGCUAGAUAUACUUAUACGACCCGCGCUGAAUCCAAGAUAUUGAGAUCACAAGAGAUGCAGAUAGAUGGCUAGAUAUGACUUAACGAGCAGAAGACCUACACUCAAUCCCUGAUAUUGAGAUCACAAGAGGCAUUUCAUGGCAGGAUGUUGUUCUAGGAUGUCCGGCAUUCACAAGAAAUGCAGAUAGAUGGCUAGAUAGGUCAGAGCUUGACAUCAUACAGAUACACCUGAAGAGAUAUUGAUAUAUUAUGCCUAAACGAGCAGACGACCCACACUGAAUCCCUGAUAUUGAGGUCAGAAGAGGCCUUUCUAUGGUGCCCUGAAUUCACCAGAAAUGCAGAUAGAUGGGUAGGUAGCGUAUUUAGGUCACAGCAUGUCAUCAUACAGUUACACCUAAAAGUUUAUUCUUAAUGUUACGAAACGUUAAUAUAACUGUUGCUUCAAAUACAUAAAACCCAUCGGUUUUAAAAUUUAAUUUGACACAAGAGGAUAUAAGUCAGAUAUUGGUGUGUAUCCUUUUUCCACGGACAAAUAACUGGCCUUUUUUAAAACAUGCGUAUGAUAUGUUAUUGACUUACUUUAUUAAUCUUGUCAAUAUUUGCUCCUUAGUGUCAUUUAUUAAGAAUUGUAUAUAAUUAAUGAGAUUAAAAAGGAAUCUAAAUAUUUAGAAAAUAUCAUUAACACUUUAACAAAAUUGAAAUAAUGUUCUGACCAAAGCUGUGCUUAUUAUUUUUUCUUCAGUUCAUCUUCACAACUUAGUUAUAUUGUAUUUUCAAAACGUGAUAAAGAAAGCUGGGGUAAGGAAAUGGACAACAUCAAAUUUAGAUUUAAAUAACAGAAAUGUAAAAUAAAAAGACCUGUUAGGACAGAUUCAUGAUUUUCCACCAUCAGAUGUCAUUAAUAUUUGAAUAUGAGGUAUUUUAAAACUUUGUUGUUUAAAAAAACAGUGUCAUUUAAACUUUGAACAUGAUUGAUGUUAACUUAGAUAAUAAGUAUUACUGGGUGCCGGAAAACAUUAAUUAGACAAAUUAAUAUUUACUGUUUUACUUGGUUUAAAUAACUUUUGAGACUGAACUUGUUUUGUUUGUUUUCAUUCAGAUAUACCUAUACGACCAGCACUGAAUCCAAGAUAUUGAAAUCAAAAGAGGCAUUUCACUGCAGGAUGUUGUUCUAUGCUGGCCGGCAUUCACAAGCUACAUGGCUAGUUAGAGGAAUAUAAGCAGAAUUCCCAAACUAAGUCCCGGAUGUGGAGGUCACAUGGGGCUCAUCCUGGCAGGAUAUAGUAAUUAGAUGUCCGGCGAAGACAAGACUAACAUGUCGAUAGCUAGAUACAUGUGAUGCAUUUUGGCAACGACCAAUUUCAAAAAAGUUGACUUUAAUUUGAAGCUUUUAUUGGCGUAUCAAGUUGACAAUUACAAGAAUAUGUACAUACGAUCAUAAAACAGAGUGAUGCAUUUAACAUGUGUGUCGAUUCAUUACUUUAUAUGUUACAUCUGCCCAUGGAUGAAAAGCUGAUUAAUCGCAUUUAAAGCAAUUGCAAAUAAAAGAGUGUGUUCCAUUUUUCUCUGGUCUCAAUUCAGUCAUUAGCAAUACAUGUAUAACUUUGUUUAUAUGGAAAAUCAUGUGUUUUAGGUAUA